Cherax quadricarinatus is the source of this 524-nucleotide long non-coding RNA. RefSeq lists it as uncharacterized. NCBI's taxonomy places the organism in Eukaryota, Metazoa, Arthropoda, Malacostraca, Decapoda, Parastacidae. The record is from RefSeq and is a predicted model, not a curated record.
GUCGGCGGCCCACCAACAUCUCCGGUCAUCCUCUCUACUUUUUACCUCAUUUUCUCUUCGUAUCUGCGUCUACUUCUACCAGUCAUCCUCUUAUAGCAGGAAAUCGCCGAGCACAGCAGGACCCGUGUACCGCAGACUGAUAUAUCCCGCACGUGACCGGAUAUAGCAGGAGCGUAGCGGGGAUGGUAGAGCCCUUGCAGGUCACCCAAAGAACUUAAGCAGUUAUAAGUCACCUCUGGGAGCUUUUGUAUCUCAGUCUCCACUGCUUCUCUGGACACUUGUCUCCCUGAGAACUCAACGUGACGACCUUGGAGAAGAGGACUAGGAGGACGAUGACAACUACCCACAAAAUCUCAAGCGAGCAGCUGGGGGUAAAUAUGUUUGAAUUAAGAGGACCAGGAUCAAGGGAACACAGGGAGAAGCUGAAAACACAGGUGAUCCAGAGUGAUGUAAAGGAAGUAUUUCUUUAUAGUCUAAGGGUAGUUGAAAACUUGUUAUGUCUUGGAUAAUGCAGUGAUGGAGGU